CCUACGGGCGGCUGCAGUGGGGAAUAUUGCACAAUGGGGGAAACCCUGAUGCAGCGACGCCGCGUGAGUGAAGAAGUCCUUCUUUAUGUAAAGCUCUAUCAGCAGGGAAGAAAAUGACGGUACCUGAGUAAUAAUCCCCGGCUACCGACGGACCAGCAGCCGCGGUAAUACGUGGGGGGCAAGCGUUAUCCGGGUUUACUGGGUGUAAAGGGAGCGUAGACGGCAGUGCAAGUCUGGAGUGAAAGGCGGGGGCUCAACCCCCGGACUGCUGUGGAAACUGUACGGCUGGAGUGCAGGAGAGGUAAGUGGAAUUCCUGGUGUAGCGGUGAAAUGCGUAGAUAUUAGGAGGAACACCAGUGGCGAAGGCGGCUUACUGGACUGUAACUGACGUUGAGGCUCGAAAGCGUGGGGAGCAAACAGGAUUAGAUACCCUUGUAGUC
RNAcentral lists this ribosomal RNA (440 nucleotides) under uncultured bacterium. RNAcentral describes it as "partial 16S ribosomal RNA". It matches the Rfam family "Bacterial small subunit ribosomal RNA", at positions 338 to 795 of the family's 1533-position model. The record is from RNAcentral.